GCCAGAGUGGCGGAAUGGCAGACGCGACGGACUCAAAAUCCGUUGAGCUCCGGCUCAUAAGGGUUCAAGUCCCUUCUCUGGCACCA
RNAcentral lists this transfer RNA (86 nucleotides) under Candidatus Auribacterota bacterium. RNAcentral's name for it is "tRNA-Leu". It matches the Rfam family "tRNA". Rfam says of the family: Transfer RNA (tRNA) molecules are approximately 80 nucleotides in length. Their secondary structure includes four short double-helical elements and three loops (D, anti-codon, and T loops). Lineage: Bacteria; Pseudomonadati; Candidatus Auribacterota. The record is from RNAcentral.